Molecule: ribosomal RNA, 312 nt
Filed under: Escherichia coli
Lineage: Bacteria; Pseudomonadati; Pseudomonadota; Gammaproteobacteria; Enterobacterales; Enterobacteriaceae
Description: partial 23S ribosomal RNA
Rfam family: Bacterial large subunit ribosomal RNA
Source: RNAcentral
CCAGACAGCCAGGAUGUUGGCUUAGAAGCAGCCAUCAUUUAAAGAAAGCGUAAUAGCUCACUGGUCGAGUCGGCCUGCGCGGAAGAUGUAACGGGGCUAAACCAUGCACCGAAGCUGCGGCAGCGACGCUAUGCGUUGUUGGGUAGGGGAGCGUUCUGUAAGCCUGUGAAGGUGUGCUGUGAGGCAUGCUGGAGGUAUCAGAAGUGCGAAUGCUGACAUAAGUAACGAUAAAGCGGGUGAAAAGCCCGCUCGCCGGAAGACCAAGGGUUCCUGUCCAACGUUAAUCGGGGCAGGGUGAGUCGACCCCUAAGG